Molecule: long non-coding RNA, 2077 nt
Organism: Dermacentor albipictus
Lineage: Eukaryota; Metazoa; Arthropoda; Arachnida; Ixodida; Ixodidae
Source: RefSeq, a predicted model, not a curated record
CUGGGUAAGGAGUGGCCAGGGCGAUGGCCACUUCCUCAGCCGUCUCCGCAUUUUGGUUAACGAUGCUGGCAGCAUUGUCGAAGCAAGCCGCCUGUUGUGGUAACCGCCGCAAAGCGCCGUCCAUCUUCCGUGGUACUCAGCUGCGUCGACGAAGGUGACGCCCGCGGUGUUGGCAUAAGCUUUGAUGAGGAACAGAGUCAUGCCUGGCUCUCUCAUCCUCAGUCUGACAAGGACGCCCCUAUGUUCACCGACCGGUAUAGAAAACACCAAGGAGACGCCCGUGCUGCCACGUGAGUGCGUUGCGUACGCCUGAAGGUCCAGAUCACGGUGGUCCAGAUGCUGCGGUGGAGCGCUCCGGAAGGACAGCGCUCCUCCCCUUCCCCUCCUCCUCCUCCUUCUCUCUCUCUCACUCCCUGUGGAGCAGCGGGAGAGAAGGACGGCAGUCGGCUUGCUCACUGACGCUCGCGGCGCUGGAGACAACACACGUAGGACGAAUAGGGUUACACGUAUAGCCAGCUCUACUAUACCGCUGUACAUACGUGCUAGUUAACGGCGCUGUUCUCUAGGGAAUUCCACAAAUAAACAACCUUGAUAUCCUCUUUGCGACAAAAAAAAAAGCACUUUCGAGCGCCGAGUUCUUUCAAUAAGAAAGCGAAUAGCAUUCUCGGAGAAAUCAGCUGUUCGCUUGCAUUUACAAUAAUCGUCGAUAGUGUCUGCGUAAUAUAUUUUUUUUCUUUUUCGUUAUAGGUUUGAGCGUUUCUUGGUAAGGUCGCCGUGUUGUUUUGAUGGUUGGUAGCAAUGUUGUUGUGUGUGCAUUGACUAUUCUACUGCGGAAACUAUCUACCUAAGUGCUGAAAGGACAGUAACUAUAUACCACUUUUUCAUGAGGGAAAGAAUAGCCAGCGGCGAAUUUGUACACUGAAAUCUCCGUAGUUAACACGUAAAAAAACAACAGAACUGCAAAUGAAGAAAUUAGUCGAAGACAGGGCUUUAAAGGAGAAAUGAAAGAGUCGGCUCUACUCGCUGACAACAUGGUUUGAGGCAACAAUGACAACUUUCUUUAGCGAUGAAGCGAAAGCUCCGGAGGAAAGGAAGGAAGGAAGGAAGGAAGGAAGGAAGGAAGGAAGGAAGGAAGGAAGCAAGGAAGAAGUGGAGAAGGAAAGGCAGGGAGGUUAACCAGUUUAGCUUAACCGGUUUGCUACCCUACACAUGGGAGAGGGAUGGGGGUGAUGAAAGAUGGAAGGGAGAGAGAGAGCACAUAGCACAGCACAAGAAAAUUGCCACAUUCUCACCCGCGCUAGUUCAAGCUGGAGAAGAGAGGACAUAAACGACUUACUUACAACAGCAAAAAUAAGACGAGAUGAAUCAAUAAACGUUAAAUUGCACUUAAUUUUUUUUGGCCUUGUAUUCCUUCCGCGUUUGCGCAAAUACCAAACCGUCAGCCGUGGAAAAGCCGCGCUGCCAUUCCCCUCCGGUAUUUGUCCCAAGAAACCAAAAGCGCUGUUCGAACGCUGCCGGAAUACUUGGCGUAUACGGCAGCACAGCACACGCAAAGCUAGAAGUUUAUGUGGUAAUCGCUGUCGCAUACAAAAUGAAAAGUCUGAGAGCGUUGUAGAACGUAGAGAAGACGGUGACGUCUGAGUCGUAAAAGAGAGAAAAGGUGCCGUGUGCACAAGCUGCUAGUCUUCAAUGGACGACUCGCCGCGGGAGCGGGCUAAGUGCCCCCUGAGGCAGCCAGCGCGCAGCGGUGUGCCGCCCUCCGCACGGCUUGUGCGACCCGUGCCAAAAACGGGCACCCGCCGCUUCAAGGCGUGGAAAGUCGUCGCGAGAGUUUGCGACACGAGGUAUACUAUGGAAACGAGCCUCCCUUCUGGGUCGACCGUGUACUACGGCGUCUCUUUUGUCGUUGCAGGCAAUGAAGAAGAAGGCAGGGCUGGAGAAAUUCUGCAGCGAUGACAAGCGCGUGAGAGCGACGUGCACGCGUUUUGAAAGAUGUGGACCGAGUCGAUUUCAGAUUUUUGUUUUGUUUUAAAGCGGCUGCGCAGAAGUUACUAAGUUACUAGUAAGAGAGAACGCU